RNAcentral lists this ribosomal RNA (264 nucleotides) under uncultured Glomeromycotina. Its description in RNAcentral is "partial 18S ribosomal RNA". It matches the Rfam family "Eukaryotic small subunit ribosomal RNA", at positions 619 to 888 of the family's 1831-position model. Lineage: Eukaryota; Fungi; Glomeromycota. The record is from RNAcentral.
UUAAAAAGCUCGUAGUUGAAUUUCGGGAUUAGUACGUUGGUCGUGCCUUCGGUACGUACUGGUGUUACUGAUUCCUACCUUCUGACGAACCAUCAUGUCAUUAAUUUGGUGUGGCGGGGAAUCAGGACUGUUACUUUGAAAAAAUUAGAGUGUUUAAAGCAGGCUCGCGCUUGAAUACAUUAGCAUGGAAUAAUGAAAUAGGACGUUGACCCUAUUUUGUUGGUUUCUAGGAUUGACGUAAUGAUUAAUAGGGAUGGUUGGGGG